RNAcentral lists this long non-coding RNA (403 nucleotides) under Setaria italica (foxtail millet). RNAcentral describes it as "long non-coding RNA (SITA_LNC000054)". The record is from RNAcentral. Lineage: Eukaryota; Viridiplantae; Streptophyta; Magnoliopsida; Poales; Poaceae.
CUAGCUCCGGCGAAGCCGACCCCGCGCGCCGCAGGUAAGCAGGCAGGCAGGCAGCAUCAAGCAUGGCGGACACGAGGGCGGCGCCCGCGGUGACGCUCCGCACGCGCAAGUUCAUGACCAACCGCCUCCUCUCCCGGAAGCAGUUCGUGCUCGAGGUCCUCCACCCCGGCCGCGCCAACGUCUCCAAGGUCAGUGCCCUGCGCUCGCCGGGACCUUUGCUCUCCGAGGUCUCUCGUUUGGGCAAGGCGGAGCUUCGGCGAGGCUGACGCGUGCGAUCCGUUGGCAUUGCAGGCGGACCUCAAGGACAAGCUGGCCAAGGUGUACGAGGUCAAGGACCCCAACUGCAUCUUCGUCUUCAAGUUCCGCACCCACUUCGGAGGCGGCAAGUCCACGGGGUUCGGCC